This 342-nucleotide long non-coding RNA is filed under the name Homo sapiens (human). RNAcentral describes it as "non-protein coding lnc-EXOC2-10:4". Lineage: Eukaryota; Metazoa; Chordata; Mammalia; Primates; Hominidae. The record is from RNAcentral.
UUGCAACCCAGCCUGGGUGACAGAGUGAGACCCUGUCUCUAAUAACAAAUAUAUAUAUCUUUGAAUUGUAAUAAGUAUAGGUUGUUUUAGUCUGUGAUAAUAACAACCUUGACUGGAUUCCCCCAGAAGCUGAUCCAGGGCUAGCAUUUCACUUGGGAGGUGACAGCAGGAAAGAGCAGGAGGGGAGUGGGGAGGCCAGUAAAGGUGUGCUAUGGGGCACUUCCCCGAGGGAGACUGGAGCAGCUCCCUGGGACGAGGUGACCCAGACCUUCUUCCCUGUGAGGUCUGAGCCCUUGGUUAUCAUUCCUUGUCAGGCCAGGGUUGCUGCAUUGCCAGUUUACU